GAUGAACGCUGGCGGCGUGCUUAACACAUGCAAGUCGAACGGAAAGGCUCCUGCUUGCCGGGGUCCUCGAGUGGCGAACGGGUGAGUAACACGUGGGUGAUCUGCCCUGCACUUCGGGAUAAGCAUGGGAAACUGGGUCUAAUACCGGAUAGGACGAUGGAUUGGAUGCCAUUGUGGAAAGUUUUUCGGUGUGGGAUGAGCUCGCGGCCUAUCAGCUUGUUGGUGGGGUAAUGGCCUACCAAGGCGUCGACGGGUAGCCGGCCUGAGAGGGUGUACGGCCACAUUGGGACUGAGAUACGGCCCAGACUCCUACGGGAGGCAGCAGUGGGGAAUAUUGCACAAUGGGCGCAAGCCUGAUGCAGCGACGCCGCGUGGGGGAUGACGGCCUUCGGGUUGUAAACUCCUUUCGCUAGGGACGAAGCGCAAGUGACGGUACCUGGAGAAGAAGCACCGGCUAACUACGUG
Molecule: ribosomal RNA, 465 nt
Filed under: uncultured bacterium
Lineage: Bacteria
Description: partial 16S ribosomal RNA
Rfam family: Bacterial small subunit ribosomal RNA
Source: RNAcentral